Molecule: non-coding RNA, 112 nt
Filed under: Candidatus Zhuqueibacterota
Lineage: Bacteria; Pseudomonadati
Description: Candidate division FMN sequence
Rfam family: FMN riboswitch aptamer (RFN element)
About the family: The RFN element is a highly conserved domain that is found frequently in the 5'-untranslated regions of prokaryotic mRNAs that encode for flavin mononucleotide (FMN) biosynthesis and transport proteins.
Source: RNAcentral
AAUUUCCUUCGGGGCUGGGUGGAAAUCCCGACCGGCGGUAAAGCCCGCGAGCGAAAGCUGAACCGUUGAAAUUACGGUGCCGACUGUAAAGUCAGGAUGGAAGAAGGAUAAU